GACGAACGCUGGCGGCGUGCCUAAUACAUGCAAGUAGAACGCUGAAGAGAGGAGCUUGCUCUUCUUGGAUGAGUUGCGAACGGGUGAGUAACGCGUAGGUAACCUGCCUUGUAGCGGGGGAUAACUAUUGGAAACGAUAGCUAAUACCGCAUAACAAUGGAUGACCCAUGUCAUUUAUUUGAAAGGGGCAAAUGCUCCACUACAAGAUGGACCUGCGUUGUAUUAGCUAGUAGGUGAGGUAACGGCUCACCUAGGCGACGAUACAUAGCCGACCUGAGAGGGUGAUCGGCCAAACUGGGACUGAGACACGGCCCAGACUCCUACGGGAGGCAGCAGUAGGGAAUCUUCGGCAAUGGGGGCAACCCUGACCGAGCAACGCCGCGUGAGUGAAGAAGGGUUUCGGAUCGUAAAGCUCUGUUGUAAGUCAAGAACGAGUGUGAGAGUGGAAAGUUCACACUGUGACGGUAGCUUACCAGAAAGGGACGGCUAACUACGUG
This 497-nucleotide ribosomal RNA is filed under the name uncultured bacterium. RNAcentral describes it as "partial 16S ribosomal RNA". It matches the Rfam family "Bacterial small subunit ribosomal RNA", at positions 28 to 507 of the family's 1533-position model. The record is from RNAcentral.